RNAcentral lists this long non-coding RNA (1514 nucleotides) under Vitis vinifera (wine grape). RNAcentral describes it as "long non-coding RNA (VVIN_LNC006849)". Lineage: Eukaryota; Viridiplantae; Streptophyta; Magnoliopsida; Vitales; Vitaceae. The record is from RNAcentral.
ACUUGGAUCAAGGUAAUGAACGCACAAGCUUUCCUAAGAGCUUGGGGUUAUACAGUUGGAUGAGACCAAGAUCCACAGCUAUUUUUUCAAGUAAUUUAUAUUAAGCUUCAUCUCCCAGCAUUAGGUGGAUCAAAAAAUCAAAAUCAGGCUGUGAGAGAGGGACUAAAACCCUGGCCUAGAUGUUCUACGUCCAGAGACAAAGCGAUGCACAGUAGCAGACACGUAUUGUCAACUCCCAGUUAAUAACUAGCAUAUGUAUCAUACAAUCACUUUAAUUAACAGUCACUUUCUUGUCAAAUUAAUAAUCAUUAAUCAAGAUUGAGAGGCAAAAGAAAAACCAAAAUAAAUAAAAAAAUGAUAACAAGAGGAAAAUAAGAAAUAUGUACCUCCUGAGUUAUGAAUGUCCAUUUUGAUUCCAUUAGUACAUUUGUAGAGUUUCCAGGAAGUUCCUUUUCAACAUCUUCCAACAGCAAAGGUUGGCCAUCUACAAACUUACAAUGAUUAGUAAAUUAUUUAACUCAGAAUGAACUCAAGGUUUGUUAUGUUAGUGGCAUUUUUCUGUUUCAUAAUCAAAUAAAUAAACAAACUUAAAACUAAUCAGUAUGCAUAGGGAAAAUAGAGGUGCUUUGUGUAACUAUGGAAAAUACAACUUGAUUAUUAUUAUUAUUUUGAUAGGAAAUAACAAAGAGAUAUAUUGAUAGAAAUAAGAAGUACAAAAGAAGGACGAGGAAUCCUCCCACCAAAGAAAUAACUAAACAACAAGAAUACAAAAACAAGAAGCUACAAUGUAAAAACAACGAACAAUCUCUCUUGGCUAGACCAUCCCGUUGGAGCUACACACUGCUAGCCAAUCUAAUUGUAACACAUUAAGGGGAGUGCCCUUAAAAACCAUGGAACAAAAAGCCCAAAGAGAAGCAAGGAAGUGAAUGGAAUUCUAUAGAUUCUCUGAAUUCCUAGCUUUAUCCUCAAAUAUCCUAGCAUUUCUUUCCCGCCACACAACUCAAAUUAAAGCAAUGCACGCAGUUUGCCACAAAACUAUCCCUCUCUUGGAUAUUUCAAAACCUUUAUAAUUGAUGGCCAUCAUGUCGGAAAAAUACAACUUGAUUAUCAACUGCAAUUUAUGUAAGGUCAAUCGCUAUAAGAAUGGUUCAGAACCUAGACAUAGCAAAAGCAAUUUUGAUACAUUGAAACAAGAACUUGGAUCAAGGUAGUCAGAAAAGACACAUUGUACUUUGAUUUAACAAGGACCUGGUCCUAGAUAGAGCUACACAACAAACAAGGAUUGCACAUCCAACUUUCUAACCCAACAGUAGAUUUAUAACUCCCUGUGGUUGUACAUGGGUAGGUUCAUACUUAUUAUUGGGCUUUGGACAAUCCCUGAAUUGAAUUACGAUGGGUUAGAAAAUCUAAAAAGAAGCAGCACAGAAUCAACUCUAACAUAUUGUCAUAAUCAAUUACUGGAUAAAUUAUCAGAGCAGUGCCUAAUGUAAUAAAAUUUGAAUUUUUAAUGUUGU